RNAcentral lists this small RNA (546 nucleotides) under Pongo abelii (Sumatran orangutan). Its description in RNAcentral is "processed transcript". Lineage: Eukaryota; Metazoa; Chordata; Mammalia; Primates; Hominidae. The record is from RNAcentral.
GACCUUCCCGGUGCCUCCGCCGGGCGCCCAGGGUGUAGCGGAGCUGCUGCGAGAUGCGACCGGGGCGGAGGAGGAGCCCUGGGCGGCGACGGAGCGGGGAAUGCCGGGCCAGUGCUCCGUGCUGCUCUUCCCGGGCCAGGGCAGCCAGGUGGUGGGCAUGGGCCGCGGUCUGCUCAACUACCCGCGCGUCCGCGAACUCUACGCCGCCGCCCGCCGCGUGCUGGGCUAUGACCUACUGGAGCUGAGCCUGCAUGGGCCGCAGGAGACCCUGGACCGCACCGUGCACUGCCAGCCCGCGAUCUUCGUGGCAUCGCUGGCCGCUGUCGAGAAACUACAUCACCUGCAGCCCUCGGUGAUUGAGAACUGUGUUGCUGCUGCUGGAUUCAGUGUGGGAGAGUUUGCAGCCCUAGUGUUUGCUGGAGCCAUGGAAUUUGCUGAAGGUACAGGAAGGAGUUUGGUUUUAUGCAAGGCUCUGGUCUUGGGCUCAUUAGGGGUAAGGGACACUGCCAAAAAUGAUACUGGACCCACUCAGAUGAUGGGAAGGGA